ACGACACGUGUGAUUUCGAAGCUUGAUUCAAACUUCUGGGAAAAAUCCUCAUCGAUCAUUUAAUGGAUGAAGAUCUGUGUAUUCAAACUGCGUAACACAACAAGAAGCUAAGUCCCCUCCUGUUCCCUGAUUAAGGGGUGAUGACAACUCCACUGCACUACCAGUGUCAACUCUCUCCUGACAUGAACUGAAGCCAUGUCUCAUGUGCCCUCUCAUCCACUGGCACAUUGAAGGUUUCCUCUCCGAGCACUUCAAAUCCUGUGCUGCCCUCAGUGUGAGAGUUGAGCUCUUCUCCAACACCAUCCAUGCAUGAUGAGCCUGUCCUGCACUGAAGCCUAUGAAGACCUCAACCCCUGUUCUGCACUGAAGUCAAGCCUCUGAACACCUCAACUCAUGCCUCAUACCCUCAUUCAAUCACUGCUGUGAUCCCUUCC
This is a long non-coding RNA of Oncorhynchus tshawytscha (Chinook salmon), 434 nucleotides long. The record is from Ensembl. NCBI's taxonomy places the organism in Eukaryota, Metazoa, Chordata, Actinopteri, Salmoniformes, Salmonidae.